This 88-nucleotide transfer RNA is filed under the name Flavobacteriaceae bacterium. RNAcentral describes it as "tRNA-Leu". It matches the Rfam family "tRNA". Rfam says of the family: Transfer RNA (tRNA) molecules are approximately 80 nucleotides in length. Their secondary structure includes four short double-helical elements and three loops (D, anti-codon, and T loops). Lineage: Bacteria; Pseudomonadati; Bacteroidota; Flavobacteriia; Flavobacteriales; Flavobacteriaceae. The record is from RNAcentral.
GCGCACGUGGCGGAAUUGGUAGACGCGCUAGCUUGAGGGGCUAGUGGGAAUUAUUCCCGUGGAAGUUCGAGUCUUCUCGUGCGCACAA